CAGUAGCCGCGGUAAUACGUAGGUGGCAAGCGUUGUCCGGAAUUAUUGGGCGUAAAGCGCGCGCAGGUGGUUUAAUAAGUCUGAUGUGAAAGCCCACGGCUCAACCGUGGAGGGUCAUUGGAAACUGUCAAACUUGAGUGCAGGAGAGAAAAGUGGAAUUCCUAGUGUAGCGGUGAAAUGCGUAGAGAUGUGGAGGAAUACCAGUGGCGAAGGCGACUCUCUGGUCUGUAACUGACGCUGAGGAGCGAAAGCGUGGGGAGCGAACAGGAUUAGAUACCCCGGUAGUCCCUGUCUCUUAUAC
RNAcentral lists this ribosomal RNA (301 nucleotides) under uncultured bacterium. RNAcentral's name for it is "partial 16S ribosomal RNA". It matches the Rfam family "Bacterial small subunit ribosomal RNA", at positions 509 to 807 of the family's 1533-position model. The record is from RNAcentral.